AUACUUACCUGGCAGGGGAGAUACCAUGAUCACGAAGGUGGUUUUCGCAGACCAAGGCUUAUCCAUUGCACUCCGGAUGUGCUGACCCCUGCAAUUUCCCCAAAUGUGGGAAACUUAACUGUAUAAUUUGUUGUAGUGGGGACUGCAUUCACACACACACAAA
Molecule: small nuclear RNA, 163 nt
Filed under: Pan paniscus (pygmy chimpanzee)
Lineage: Eukaryota; Metazoa; Chordata; Mammalia; Primates; Hominidae
Description: U1 spliceosomal RNA (ENSPPAG00000006220.1)
Rfam family: U1 spliceosomal RNA
About the family: U1 is a small nuclear RNA (snRNA) component of the spliceosome (involved in pre-mRNA splicing).
Source: Rfam by way of RNAcentral